UACAGAGACUGCAAGCGUUAUUCGGAUUCACUGGGCGUAAAGGGUGCGCAGGCGGCCAAGUGUGUGAGGCGUGAAAGCCCGGGGCUUAACCCCGGAAUUGCACCUCAAACCACAUGGCUAGAGCAUUGGAGAGGGUAGCAGAAUUCAUGGUGUAGCAGUGAAAUGCGUAGAUAUCAUGAGGAAUACCAGAGGCGAAGGCGGCUACCUGGACAAUUGCUGACGCUCAGGCACGAAAGCGCGGGGAGCAAAAGGG
Molecule: ribosomal RNA, 253 nt
Filed under: uncultured bacterium
Lineage: Bacteria
Description: partial 16S ribosomal RNA
Rfam family: Bacterial small subunit ribosomal RNA
Source: RNAcentral